CCGCGAGGCGGAGCAAAUCCCUAAAAGCCAUCCCAGUUCGGAUCGCAGGCUGCAACCCGCCUGCGUGAAGUUGGAAUCGCUAGUAAUCGCGGAUCAGCAUGCCGCGGUGAAUACGUUCCCGGGCCUUGUACACACCGCCCGUCACACCAUGAGAGUCGGGAACACCCGAAGUCCGUAGUCUAACCGCAAGGGGGACGCGGCCGAAGGUGGGUUCGAUAAUUGGGGUGAAGUCGUAACAAGGUAGC
RNAcentral lists this ribosomal RNA (245 nucleotides) under uncultured bacterium. RNAcentral's name for it is "partial 16S ribosomal RNA". It matches the Rfam family "Bacterial small subunit ribosomal RNA", at positions 1255 to 1500 of the family's 1533-position model. The record is from RNAcentral.